GGCAAAAUACACGAAUGGGUAUCAUUUUUCUAAAACCGAAAAAUCAAAACCGAACCCGAACCGAACCGAAAAUCAAGCAGCGGAGAUCUGUUAACACAAUCUCGGCUAACGAAAUAUAUUUCUGGUGGGAAAAGAAUGCGUGAAGAGUCUUUACAUAUUCUCUUGAUCCUUGUCCUCCUCUUCUGGAUAAUUCAUCGGAGGAUUUCUUCCGUGUCAACAUGACGGGCACAAUUGUAACUCUUAGCUCAAGUGUUGGUUUAAUAUAUUUCUACUGCUCGAGGCUUCCUUCGGAUGAGUACUUCAAACCAGCUCCGAGAUUUGAUAUAAACAAGGAUCAGGGAACUUGCACUAUUUACCUUCCUAAGAGCUGCCCAGUACAAAAAGUUUUUAUUCAAGGAAAUAGUAAUGUGUUAAAACAAGCUGCCAGUCUUGAAGCUUGCAUUGAGGUGUAUAAAGCUAAAGCUCUAAGUGAUUAAACAACACUAUAACACCCACAACACUAUAAUUCGAUGAAAAUAUAUUCUGUCUUUCAUCGGAUUGAUGAUGGU
Long non-coding RNA from Camelina sativa (false flax), 548 nucleotides. RefSeq lists it as uncharacterized. The record is from RefSeq and is a predicted model, not a curated record. Lineage: Eukaryota; Viridiplantae; Streptophyta; Magnoliopsida; Brassicales; Brassicaceae.